AUACGAAAAUGCCUUGGCCAGCAGGUUUUCUAUGAGGAUGUUAACAUGGAUACUGCAGAAAAAAAGAAAAAAGAAUCAGACAACUAUGUAAUUGGACUACU
Long non-coding RNA from Erigeron canadensis, 101 nucleotides. RefSeq lists it as uncharacterized. The record is from RefSeq and is a predicted model, not a curated record. NCBI's taxonomy places the organism in Eukaryota, Viridiplantae, Streptophyta, Magnoliopsida, Asterales, Asteraceae. The transcript has 3 exons.